This 279-nucleotide unclassified non-coding RNA is filed under the name plant metagenome. RNAcentral describes it as "partial contains small subunit ribosomal RNA, internal transcribed spacer 1, and 5.8S ribosomal RNA". The record is from RNAcentral.
UUUCCGUAGGUGAACCAGCGGAAGGAUCAUUAUUGUAUAACAGAGGUACGAGGCCUGUCGCGUACCCAACAGGUCGUACACGCCAGAAUACCCUCACACACGACAAUCUCACCCCCAAGGGCAGCACGCCGGGGGCCCCCAUUCGGCGUGUUCGGCGGGGGGCAUACGUUUUGCCACAGACUUUGUAUGCAGUGUAGGAUGUAUUUAGUGUUUUGGCGAUUACGCAAGCAAGACAACUUUCAUCAACGGUUCUCUUGGAUCCCACAACGCUGAAUAAGU